GUCCUGUGUUGAAAUGCUAUAAUAUGGUCUAUAUUAAAUUAAAUAUAAUGUUCAAAUGUGGUUGCAUGGACAAAGUGCAAAAAAAAAACAGCUAGGCCUAGGCCUAUUAUGUGUGUUUAAUAAUUCAUCUCAUAUCAUGGGCCUACAUACUGCCAGUGGUAUAAUAGCCUCAUCACUUUCAUGCCAUCAGUAAUCAUUUUCUUCUUUUAUUUUUUUGAAGAUGUUAAUAAUGUAAAUUUUUAUAUUUUCUGUCAAUAAAGAGAAAAAUUAACAAUAGGCCUAUCUUUUGAUGGUUAGUGUUAUAAAUAAUAGAAAUAUAAAAAUAGAUAUGGGCUAAUUUAGUUGUGUGUAUAGGCCUAACUAUAAAUAAUAUGGUAUUUCUUUCAGGUUUUCAAUCCAUUGACUAGAAGCCAUGUUUGUUGCAAUAUGUUGUUUGUGGUAGACACUGGGAAGAAACCGACUAUUGAAUGUGUAUUUAUUUGUCUCCUGGUACAAAACUGAUGGAAGAGCAGCCAUGAUGAAGCAGUAAAAAGGUUGUUGGAUACCUUGCUUCAAUACCUCUGGUCGGACAAGAAAAGACCUGGCUAAGGAGUAGAGCUUCAAAUAAUUUAUCACCAAGAAAGUUACUGAUUUAAUCCGAAUCCUGUAAUGCGAAAGAUUCUUAAUUAAGCUAAGUGUGCAAUAUUAGGUCAGUUAAGACGACAGUAAUGCAUAGGUAUAUUUUGAAAUCUAGACAUAGUAGCUGUUGUUAUAUUAUUGAUUUAAACAUGCCUGUAUAGUACAAUGCAUACUAUUUUAUGUUUUCUGCAAGUUUCAAUUAAAGAAAAAUGGUCAAGUA
Long non-coding RNA from Anneissia japonica, 838 nucleotides. RefSeq lists it as uncharacterized. The transcript has 2 exons. The record is from RefSeq and is a predicted model, not a curated record. Lineage: Eukaryota; Metazoa; Echinodermata; Crinoidea; Comatulida; Comatulidae.